UCUUCCCUCUGUCGGCGUGCUUAACACAUGCAAGUCGAACGAAGCACCUUGAUUUGAUUCUUCGGAUGAAGAUCUUGGUGACUGAGUGGCGGACGGGUGAGUAACGCGUGGGUAACCUGCCUCAUACAGGGGGAUAACAGUUAGAAAUGACUGCUAAUACCGCAUAAGACCACAGCACCGCAUGGUGCAGGGGUAAAAACUCCGGUGGUAUGAGAUGGACCCGCGUCUGAUUAGGUAGUUGGUGGGGUAACGGCCUACCAAGCCGACGAUCAGUAGCCGACCUGAGAGGGUGACCGGCCACAUUGGGACUGAGACACGGCCCAAACUCCUACGGGAGGCAGCAGUGGGGAAUAUGGCACAAUGGGGGAAACCCUGAUGCAGCGACGCCGCGUGAGCGAUGAAGUAUUUCGGUAUGUAAAGCUCUAUCAGCAGGGAAGAAAAUGACGGUACCUGACUAAGAAGCACCGGCUAAAUACGU
RNAcentral lists this ribosomal RNA (478 nucleotides) under uncultured bacterium. RNAcentral's name for it is "partial 16S ribosomal RNA". It matches the Rfam family "Bacterial small subunit ribosomal RNA", at positions 36 to 506 of the family's 1533-position model. The record is from RNAcentral.